ACGACCAUAGCGCAUUGAAAACAUCGUUUCUUGUCCGAUCUCCGAAGUUGAGCAAUGAAGGGGCUGGCUGGUCAGUACUUGGGAGGGUGACCACUUAGGACCACCUAAUGCUGUAGGCU
Non-coding RNA from Cordylochernes scorpioides, 119 nucleotides. The record is from the annotation of a GenBank genome assembly. Lineage: Eukaryota; Metazoa; Arthropoda; Arachnida; Pseudoscorpiones; Chernetidae.